Molecule: transfer RNA, 69 nt
Filed under: Otolemur garnettii (small-eared galago)
Lineage: Eukaryota; Metazoa; Chordata; Mammalia; Primates; Galagidae
Rfam family: tRNA
About the family: Transfer RNA (tRNA) molecules are approximately 80 nucleotides in length. Their secondary structure includes four short double-helical elements and three loops (D, anti-codon, and T loops).
Source: Rfam by way of RNAcentral
AGGAAAGUCAUAGUGGUUAUGGUGUUGGCUUGAAACUAAUGUUAGGAGGUUCGAUUCCUUCCUUUCUUG